Molecule: ribosomal RNA, 348 nt
Filed under: uncultured bacterium
Lineage: Bacteria
Description: bacterial SSU rRNA
Rfam family: Bacterial small subunit ribosomal RNA
Source: RNAcentral
GGAAACGACUGCUAAUACCGCAUAAGCCCACGGGUCGGCAUCGACCUGAGGGAAAAGGAGCAAUCCGCCUUGAGAUGGCCUCGCGUCCGAUUAGCUAGUUGGUGAGGUAACGGCCCACCAAGGCGACGAUCGGUAGCCGGACUGAGAGGUUGAACGGCCACAUUGGGACUGAGACACGGCCCAGACUCCUACGGGAGGCAGCAGUGGGGAAUAUUGCACAAUGGGGGAAACCCUGAUGCAGCGACGCCGCGUGGAGGAAGAAGGUCUUCGGAUUGUAAACUCCUGUUGUUGAGGAAGAUAAUGACGGUACUCAACAAGGAAGUGACGGCUAACUACGUGCCAGCAGCC